ACUUUGUCACGCCCUGUUCACUGUAGUUGACAGUUCACUGCUCUCAUCAGGCCUAGAUGUACCACAAGACAUCUCACUGAAUCAUCUGACUUCCAGAUUCAUUCUUCCUCCUGCUGCUGUGCAUAUGCAACCUUACUUUCUCAUUAUAAUUAGGGUCAGCUAUCCCCAUGAAUAUAGUAGCUAUUUUAGUUGCCCUCUUGUACACAUCAUGAGUAUCCAUAGUUACCAUGCAGUGGUCACAGCUUUGAGUUCAUGAUACUUACUAAUCCCUGUUAGAAGCAGAACUCUCCCGUAUCCCAAGAAUAAGAAUAUCUAAUUCAGCAGAGCCAAAGUUGCAAAACCCAGAAGCAUACAUGCUGCAGAUAGGUUACUACGGGGGCUACUCUUACUCCUACCUUUUGGUCCUUAGACCCACAUAUUCCACCUACUGGAGACACCAUGUCAUGUAACAUCAUGUAUCAAUGGUGUGCCAUGCAUUGAUUCAGUGAAUAUACUGCAACUUGGAAUAUUGAACCCCCAAAAAACAGGAUCCUGUCUCCAAACUACUACCUAAGCAGACACUUUAAGAGGCCACUUCAUUAUUAGAUCAGGUUGAUUUCUUCCAAGUGAUGUGACAUUUAGUAAGAACGGCAGAUCUUAAGAUCACGUGCCUGGUGUUUCAUUUCCCUCAUUUCCUUGAUUUCAGGCAAGAUCAUGAAUCACCCCACAUUGCUAAUUCAGCAUUCUUAAAGAUCUGGAAUGGUAGGGCAGGCAGAGACACCAUAAUCAGAGAAAGCAAACCCAUAGAAUGAAUCACUGUUCCCCCAAGGAUGGAAGGGGUCUGAUGUUGUCAGUUUGCUGUCAAACACCUGGUUUGUCCUGAAGGGGUCAGUAUCUGCCUCUGCUGCUGGAAGAUCAUGUAAUCAGUGGUAGGUAGCCUUGGGGAGAAAAAGCCAUGAUGUUGAGUGUGUGCAGCAUCUCCAUCUCUGCCACAUGGCCACUCCACUCAUGGGCCUAUUGUGCAUGUUGUAAGUGACUAAAGAGAGGCUAAAGAACUUCAACUGACCAGUCAUCUGGUACAUUGGCUUACCCUCUGGUAGAUGUAGACAAGGAUCUGCAUGCUCUGGAUACAUUCUUAUGAAUCUUCUAACAUUUCCCAGGCUUCUUGUUUCUAAUCUUUCAGACUGUCUCCUUCCAGGCCUCUAAAGAGCAGGAAAAGUCACCUUCCAUUGCCUGGAAAUCAGUCUAUAUUCUAACCUCAGGCUACCCUCCUCUCAAGAUGGCUGCUUGCCUCUCUGUCCUGUGGGAGGAUUUCUCUUCACCACAGUCCUAUAAGAUGACUGGGUGGGUCUACGGUGAAGCUGCAGUCUUUUUUUUUUUUUUUUUUUUUUUUUUUUUUUUUUUUGUGCUCACCAACAUACUGAGCUAACCCAUCCAUGAAUCAGGCUUGAGGUUUUUUUUCAUCAUUCAUCAGCUGGCUUCAAGCAUCUCCAUGAAGCCCUAGGGGUGAACUCAGGGAGAGGCACCAGUGUUAACAGUGACAAGAAAAAUGGGAAUUUGAGCCAUCUGUUCAUGGAACUUUCUUAAUCCCUCUAGACCUGUUUAGGCCAAAUUCUGAAUAUAGCAUUUCAAUCCAUGGAUUGUUGUCCACUCUAUGAUUCAGUGAAUUCAAAAAUACCCAGGUCAUCAUGAGAAGCUGAAGCCAUAGAGUUGUCUGAUGUCAUAUAAUUAGAUAUUCCUUCUCUAUUCUGACCCAGCAAUAGGCCAGAAGCUACUUUUCAAAUGGGAAGGAUAUUUUUGCUGUGGAAGGUAAGGCCUUCCUCCAGAACCUUAAAGACUUUCAUUGUGAGGCUGUUAGUAUAACCUACCACACACUCCACAGUAAUAUUAUAUUUCACUUUCUCACUAAAUUUUCUGAAUCAUAUUCCCAAGAGUCAAGGAGCUCACAUGACAGCCUGGACCUGCUGCAGGCAUUGGUAGUUAUGAAUAGCCACCCUGGUAUAUGAAUGACAUUCAGAAAUACUCCUAUUGUCCAAUCUACUAACUUAUCUAGUAAUGACAGUCCCGGGCUUGUGGUCAUAUCACCCUAUGAGAAUAUCUGAGUGAGGCCCAGAUUCCUGAUUGUCUGCAAACAGUGGCAGUUUUAAACCACUAAAUAUUGGGCCGCUCUUACCUGAAAGUGGCAUAUGUCACGUCUGUCUUCAUUUCAUGGGACUAAGGAAGUCACAGAGCCAACAAAGCACAAAUGCAUAAUCCCUCCAUAUGUACAGUGACGACAGGAAGAAACACUAGUUGGCAUGGUAAAGAAUUGUAGACCCUACCACAGUCCCUACACAACUAAAUAUUCAGAUCACCUGCUCAAUCUAAAUAAAGGUUUGCCAUAGUUGUUGUUGCUGUUGUUUAAAUGAGGCAAACUUUGAUAAAGCCAUUCCAGAGAUAAAAGCACAUUUAACAUAAUUUAUUGAGUACUUGUAAUUGAUGGUAACAUAAUGACUGAUUUAAAAGAACCAUUCAGCUCCUUUGAUAA
Molecule: long non-coding RNA, 2506 nt
Filed under: Homo sapiens (human)
Lineage: Eukaryota; Metazoa; Chordata; Mammalia; Primates; Hominidae
Description: HSALNT0306135
Source: RNAcentral